GAUGGAUUCAAGGUACUAAUUAAGUGAUUUCCUGCUCUGGGGAUUUAGGUAGAGAGGAAUUCCUGGCCACAAAGACUGUGUACUACCUGCUGACUCUGAAAAAGAUGAAGAGAAUCUUUCCACUGCCAACCUGAAGUUACAGAGAAUCACUUAGUAGUGUAACAGGUUUCAUCCUUAUUUACCCUCACAAUCCUUGGGCUGUGCUGAACUCCAUAGCAAUCUACCCAUUGAUUAACACUGCUAGCUCAAACCAGUUUGCAAUAUUAGCCCCCUGCAACCACACUAAGGUUCGAUUGGUGUUUUGGGUGACUUUGCAGUUUGCUACAUCUGUCUCUGCUUCUUGUGUAGACCUGGGAUUGUACAAAACAUAUUGAUUGACCCAUACCCCUGAGGAAGGCAGCGAUUUGCCGAAACAUGUUGGGACUUUGUAACAACCCAUGUUAAUUCUAGUCUACCUUUAAUGUUUUUA
This is a long non-coding RNA of Rana temporaria (common frog), 469 nucleotides long. RefSeq lists it as uncharacterized. The record is from RefSeq and is a predicted model, not a curated record. The transcript is spliced from 4 exons. Lineage: Eukaryota; Metazoa; Chordata; Amphibia; Anura; Ranidae.